This 1123-nucleotide long non-coding RNA is filed under the name Canis lupus dingo (dingo). RNAcentral's name for it is "lncRNA (ENSCAFG00020027068.1)". Lineage: Eukaryota; Metazoa; Chordata; Mammalia; Carnivora; Canidae. The record is from RNAcentral.
GGUCAUGAGGGUGCAGGCCCCUGGGGGGGACGAGGUCAUGAGGGUGCAGGCCCCUGGGGGGGGACGAGGUCAUGGGGGUGCAGGCCCCUGCGGGGGGGGACGAGGUCAUGGGGGUGCAGGCCCCUGGGGGGGCGGGGGGCGGGGGGGGGGGCUCCCCGCGCAGGAGGAGCAGGGCCUGCGGGAAGCGCUGCGCGGGCCUGGGCUGCUCCCGCUGCGGGGCUCCCUGGGGCCGCCCGACCCGAGGGCACCCCUCCGCCCACCACCCCGACACCCCUGGCCCUGGGUGCCCCGGCCGCCGGCUGCGUGAGGGAGGGGGAGGCGCGGCGGGUGGGCGGCAGCUUGGCCGCCGCGCCCCUGACUCAGAGCCUGGCCGCAGCUCCAGCCCGGGCGCCCGCGGGUCACGGGGCGGGUGACGUCAGCCUGAGCCCCGCGGGCGGGGAAACUGAGGCCGGGGGGCGUGGCCGCCCAGGGUCGGGCCGCGGGGAGCCAGGGAGGGGCCCGCUGAGAACCUGCCCGCCCCCCUGCCCCCCCCCGCCCCUCACCCCCCCACCCCCGCACUGGGCUCCGCUGGCCCCUGGGAGCCUGGGGCCGGGAAGGGGACCCCCGCGGUGCGAGGUCCGGGGCGGGGGGGCGGGGCUGUGCCGAGCGGCCCCCCAGCGCCUCCCCCGCGCGCCCCGAUCCACGCCCCGAGUCGCCCCGUGCGGCCUGGGGGCUCCCGCCGCCCCGACAGUCCCUGCGGCCUUCGGGGCCCGCCCCGCCCGGGGUCCCGGGAGAGGAGGCCCCUCGUGUGCGUGUGCGUGUGCGUGUGCGUGUGCGCCCCGGGCCGCCGGCCUCUCCCGCCCACCGGGUGGCACGUCCACGGCCGCGGGGCUCCCUGACCCGGGGUCAGGACCGGGCCUCCCGAGCUCCGCAGCCACCGCCCUCGGGGUGUGGGGCCCCUUCCCUCCCGCGGCCCCGGGGCCCCGGAACCACCUCCACGCAGCCCCCCGGGGACCAGCCGCCGCGCCGGGAGGAGCGCAGGCCGCGCAGGUCACGCCCAGCCAUGCACGGCCACGCGGGCGACACAGGCCACGCAGGACACGCAGGUGAGCGCAGGCCACGGACAGGUCACGCUAGGCGCCGG